This 66-nucleotide transfer RNA is filed under the name Euhadra herklotsi. Its description in RNAcentral is "tranfer RNA-Leu(UAA)". Lineage: Eukaryota; Metazoa; Mollusca; Gastropoda; Stylommatophora; Camaenidae. The record is from RNAcentral.
UUUAUAGUGGCAGAAACAUGCAUAGAUUUUAAGCGUCUAUUAUAGGCUUAUUAGGCCUCUAUUCUC